GAUGAACGCUGGCGGCGUGCCUAAUACAUGCAGGUCGAGCGAACGGACGAGAAGCUUGCUUUUCUGAUGUUAGCGGCGGACGGGUGAGUAACACGUGGAUAACCUACCUAUAAGACUGGGAUAACUUCGGGAAACCGGAGCUAAUACCGGAUAAUAUUUUGAACCGCAUGGUUCAAAAGUGAAAGACGGUCUUGCUGUCACUUAUAGAUGGAUCCGCGCUGCAUUAGCUAGUUGGUAAGGUAACGGCUUACCAAGGCAACGAUGCAUAGCCGACCUGAGAGGGUGAUCGGCCACACUGGAACUGAGACACGGUCCAGACUCCUACGGGAGGCAGCAGUAGGGAAUCUUCCGCAAUGGGCGAAAGCCUGACGGAGCAACGCCGCGUGAGUGAUGAAGGUCUUCGGAUCGUAAAACUCUGUUAUUAGGGAAGAACACAUGUGUAAGUAACUGUGCACAUCUUGACGGUACCUAAUCAGAAAGCCACGGCUAACUACGUG
This 497-nucleotide ribosomal RNA is filed under the name uncultured bacterium. RNAcentral's name for it is "partial 16S ribosomal RNA". It matches the Rfam family "Bacterial small subunit ribosomal RNA", at positions 28 to 507 of the family's 1533-position model. The record is from RNAcentral.